RNAcentral lists this ribosomal RNA (255 nucleotides) under uncultured bacterium. RNAcentral's name for it is "partial 16S ribosomal RNA". It matches the Rfam family "Bacterial small subunit ribosomal RNA", at positions 524 to 776 of the family's 1533-position model. The record is from RNAcentral.
UACGAAGGGGGGCUAGCGUUGCUCGGAAUUAUUGGGCGUAAAGCGCACGUAGGCGGUUCGUUAAGUCGGAUGUGAAAGCCCUCGGCUCAACUGAGGAAGUGCACCCGAAACUGGCGAGCUUGAGUACGAAAGAGGAUCGCGGAAUUCCCGGUGUAGAGGUGAAAUUCGUAGAUAUCAGGAGGAACACCGGUGGCGAAGGCGGGUCUCUGGGCAGUAACUGACGCUGGAGGAGCGAAAGCGUGGGGAGCGAACAGG